UCACUCGCUCUCUAUCUCAUGCGCCGCCGUUCUAUCACCUUCUCCACGCGACACUACCGCCACCAGAACCGUCAGAGUCGUCCUACUUCGGCACUCGCCGGCGAUUUCUCGUUUCUUCCACUCCGGUUUUAGUAGACGACGACACGCUCACUGACUCCGUGCCGAUCCCGGCGGAGAUUGUUAACUUCUGUGACGGAGUGAUUGGCAGUGGUGAAGAGUCGAUUCUUCCUGUUCAAACUCUGAUUUCGGUGCUAGAAGCUUAUCAUAGUCUCUCUGGCUUCCCUUGUUGGUGUAUAAGGACUUUUCUGGUGGGUAAUUAUUGCUACUUCGACUUUGGCAUUCAGACUUGCGUUGCUUCCUGUUGUUGUUUUGGGAAAGAUAGGAGAGUUAUCUUGUAAAUAGGAAGAAGAAGAUGAUGAUGAAGCAGAAGAAGGAUGACUUAACUACUUGUUUUGAAAGAUUUGGAUGUCAAUGCAAG
Molecule: long non-coding RNA, 478 nt
Organism: Pistacia vera
Lineage: Eukaryota; Viridiplantae; Streptophyta; Magnoliopsida; Sapindales; Anacardiaceae
Exons: 3
Source: RefSeq, a predicted model, not a curated record